Molecule: long non-coding RNA, 262 nt
Organism: Ipomoea triloba (trilobed morning glory)
Lineage: Eukaryota; Viridiplantae; Streptophyta; Magnoliopsida; Solanales; Convolvulaceae
Exons: 3
Source: RefSeq, a predicted model, not a curated record
CAACGGGAGUUGGAUGGAACAAAAAUUUUUCUUGUCAUAUUUUUACAAGGCAGAAGCUCUUCCCCACCCCUUUGCCUUUUUAAUUGUAAGAAUGAGUUAAUACCACAGCACUUGUUGAGAAUGCGGUGAGAAGCUUGACAGUUCGGUUGAGAAGAGUUCAGAUCUCAUUCAGCUUCGCAGGGUUACGUUGUUUUAAGUCAACCUUGGGCUUUUGUGCAAUGGAUGGAAAAGCUUAGCAUAGAGGUGGAGUAAAGCUUUUUUU